Scylla paramamosain (green mud crab) is the source of this 9121-nucleotide long non-coding RNA. RefSeq lists it as uncharacterized. The transcript has 3 exons. The record is from RefSeq and is a predicted model, not a curated record. Lineage: Eukaryota; Metazoa; Arthropoda; Malacostraca; Decapoda; Portunidae.
CCUUUCACAUACCAACCAGCAGCAUUCCACCAGCGACAGCUGAGAGCACCCGGAGGGAGAAUCUCCAAGCAACAUUCAUUAUUUAUUUUAUUUUUUAUUUAUUAUUUAUUUAUUUAUUCUUAGUCAUCCUCGCUAGUGAUUUUGCUUUCUCAGUGAAAGUUUCAAUGUUCAAUCAGUGACUCUAGUCUAAGUGAAGUGAAGUGUAAUUGUGAAUUUCCGUUAAUAAAGUGAAAACCAGUGAAUCUCUAAACUGUGUAUUAGUUAAAGAUUUCCCUUUUGCAGCCGAGGGCCAGAUAUGUCGGCUUCGGUGUUCGCCUCCUUGGGUGUUCGCCAGUGUCCUUGGGUGUUCUCCUGUAUCCUGAGGUGCAGCUUAUCGUCCUAGCAACAUUCCCAUUCCAGACCACACAAGACUCGGGGCUUUCACCAGUGCCACCCUCUUUGUAUCACUCGGUGUUUGUAGAUGUGAGAUUUUUGAGCUAGAUGUUCUUAUACCAUAUGCUUUCAGAUCAGGUUCUCGUAUCUUGUGCACUUUGUUUACAGCUUUCGUGAGCGGUUUGGUGGUGGAAUGGCGGUCACCUACCAACCCGUUAGUGCUGCUCAUCCCCCGGUCGUGUGGUCAGGUGUUCCCCUCCCCCCUUCCCCCGCGCCGACCACUCCACACUUGGUUACUCGUUUUGUUUACAUAUAUUUCAUUCACAAUGAAAAUCUCAAUCUUUAACAUGCUCGUUGGGUGUAAAGUUACCAUCAUUGGCAAUUGCAUAUGUUUGAUAUCUCUUGCCAGUCAUCAACCACUGUCAUCUUACACUCUCUCUCACUCCAUGGCCUGUUACCGUCCUGGCUGGGAGAUCUUGCUGGAGUCUACAUAGCAAUGGAAGUCCACUGCGGGUUCUUCCAUCGGCUGGGUUGAGGUAUGGUCGGUAUAGUGCUAACACUUCAUUUUCUUCCAUCUCAUUCAUUACAAUAUUUAGCCUUACAGAUCAUUAUUUUUCUGUUCUUGCUUUUCCCAUAUUCAAUGGUGUAAAGUCAUUGGUGCAUGAUUUUUAUUUCCCAGAUAAUAUUGGUGUAGGACAGGUAGGGACCAGUAACUAGUAUUUUCAGUCCGACCUGUUGCACCUGCCGAUCGGUGUGAGGCGGUUGCUUGCACAUCUCCGGAACCAGUUGCUAGUACUUUCAGUCCCUGUUGCGCACGGUGAACGGUGUGUGGCGGUUGUUCGCACUUCUCCAACUACCCAAGUUUUCUGUGGAGGUGAGCAAAUAGUUUCCAAGGUAGAAUAUAUUCAAGAAAUUGGUAUGAAUACAUUUUUGGGUAAUGGAAGUAAUGAGUACUGAAGUUCUAAAGUGUUUUCAUAGAUAUCAGGUUGAUUUAUCAGGAUUGCGAAGUUGAUCCUGGUUUAACAAUUAGCAAAUAAAAAAGAUUAGGGGGUAUAACCGUACAUGCAGAACCCAGAGAAUACAAAUAAUUGAUGGAAAGGGGUAGAGUUACUGGCAACAUAGGUGAAUUAUGGGUUGGUGAGGUGUGGGCAGAGAACAAGUGGAUGGAAUGUGAAAUGGUGAUAAAACAGCUGAAGGAAGUGAAGUUUGGGCAGUGGGGAACAGGUGGAUGGAAUUUGAGGUGGAGAUCCCAUUAUUAGGUGAAGUUUGCGCAGUGAGGAAGAAGUGGAUGGAAUAUGAGGUGAUAACCAUUAUUGGAGGAAGCGAGGUGGAGUCGUGUGGGUGAUCUGUUGGAUAUAGAUUUGCAAGCAUGGAGGUGUUUUUUGGCUUGGCAUAUUGUGAAGUGAAAGUGAAGAAAGUGAAAUGGCUCAGGUGGCAGGUUAGUGCUCGCCUAGCACUCAUGGUAGGGCAGCCAAGCUGGUCCUGCUGCACGUGGUGUGGAUGGUAUGUGAUAACAUGACAGGUUCAUGUAUUGUAACUGGGAAGAAAUGGAACCUACAAAGAGGAAAGUGGGAUUUCAUGUGGCGUUAGGGACUAAUAUUGCAAGGAAGGUGGAAGGAUGUUACCUGUCGAAGUAUUAAACAUUUUUACAAGGGGAGGUUAGUUUUUGUGGUGGGUGGGAGUGGAAAUAAUAGUAUUUACAGACCAUGGAGACCGCGGAAACCACAAUUUAUGAAGACCUGGCAGAAGGGAAAUGAAGCGCUGGCAUGUAAUGCUACCAGGUUUACUAGUGUGACAAAGCUGCAGAUUUGGUGCUAAAAAGUGAAGAUUUUGUGCAUCUUGGCAAGUUUCUCCUCGGCAACAGGUAUUUGAUUCGAUGCGACUAAUUUUUAAAGGAAACCUUAGCUUUUGCUCUGAAUUGUCUUGGGUAAAUUUAGCAUCGUGUUCAUUUAGUGUUGUAGUGGCAAUUGUUUUCAGCUUAAGCGCUGUGGUGCAUAGUAUAAAGAAAAUUUGGAUAUUUACGCAUAUGACAUUUAAUUCUGAGUUUGCCUCAGUGCAGUUGCAAAAAAGCAUGAUGGUUUUCUGUAUGUCAAGUUGGUAUGGGAAGGUUUUAAACCUGUCAUGAGUAUCUUUGGAUUGGGUUGGGGGGAAAAUAAUGGUACUUCCAGACUUCUGAAGACUACAAUGAAAGAACCGGGUCGAACGGACAUAAGGUGCUGACACUGAACACAAAUGGGUGACGGAAAACAAAUAAGCACUGGAAGGUCAGUCAGUGAAAGAACAAGGAUGGUGUAUGGAUGUGGCCUGUGAAGUGUCUUCAGCAGACAGGUAAUUAUGAAGUGGAAUGCUUGAUCAGUGUUUGGUAAAUUCAAGUAGUUUUGAUAUCUUUAAACAUUUUGUUGGAGUCAGUACUACAUAAUUAGAUUCUAAACUUGAAGACUUUUGGUGGGAUAGCUUAGCCUAUCUUGCUGUAUGCUGUAGUUGCUUUCUUUGCACAGAAAUAUUGACGAUUAGUUGUGCAAUAUUGGUGAAGGAGAAUUCAGUUUUAACAUAAUGUAGGAACAUGAGGGUACGUGUACGGGGUGGAGGGAAAGGUGGUGGUACUUGCAGACUCCCGAAGACCUGCAGGCUGCUGUGUAAGACUGAACGGAUACAAAAUUACAUGAAGUGUUGGCAAUGGAAACAUCAGGUUCACGAAUGACAAAGCUGGAAGUUUGGAGAAAGACGGCAAAGGAUUUGUAUACAUCCCUUAUGAAGUCCCUCCUCUUCAACAGGUAUUUAGUCUCAUCCUAUACUGAAGGCUAAAUUGUUCAAAAGUUCUCUUUGUUAGCAUUUAGAUCUAGCAUUUAGAUUUAGCCUUUGUGGAAGCCAUAAAGUUUAUUUAGUUGGUAGAUUAAUGUGGAGUCUUGACAGAAAAAAGUGUAUGGGUAUUGCAGUGUUGUAGGGAAAGGAGUCAAACUGAAACGUGUGUGAAGGUGAGAUUUAUCGUAUCUUCAGCAGCAGGACAGCCAAGUCUGUGUUGUAAAUACUAAGUGAUAUUCUAAUAUUAGCGUAGGUGGAGAAAAACGAAGAAUUUUAAGUCGUAGUGUUUGAAGCAAGAAACAAAGUUGGAGGUUUUGUUAGUAGAAGAACCAAAAUUCUGUGAUUAUUGUUUUUGAGCAGUUUCAGGAAACAUGUAGAUUGAUGGUAUUUUAUUUUUAUUUUCUAGAUACAUGGAAGCAAUAUUGAUUUUAGUGAAAAUAGAUGUAUCAAAAUGAACUCCAGUAGGAUUUUGCCAGGACGUAAAGUGGGAUAGCAAAGACUAUCUUGCUGUGAUUGUGAUGCAAUGGUGUUUGCCUGAAGAAUGCAGAACUAUAGUUGCUCAACAUGAGCGGUUAGGGAUGUACAGAAUAUGGCAUUGUACAUUCGUGUAUGUUAGAAAACAAAAUUACUUCGUGAAGGCUGCGGGAUGGGGUGGCGGAAAUAAUAAUACUUGCAGAGUUGAAGAUGAAAAGGAAGGCGAAUAAAGGAAGUGCGGGCAUAGACUCUACCUUGUUCAAGAAUGACAAAGCCAGGUGCUUUACCGGGUGCAUGCGUCGUGGCAAGCUUGUCAACAAAAGGUAUUUAGUUGGAUGUAACAUUAAUGGCUAUAUUGCCUUAGAAAUUUAUUUCAUACUUAAAAGUGUCAGCAUUAAACUUAGUAUUGUGACUACAGUGCUUUGUGGUAACUAAAUAGUUUAUCCCAAACUAGUAAGUGUUCCCUCAGCUUUCAAACACUGCUGCCUUAGCAUGAAAUUCACUGAGUAAACCAAAAGUGCAUUUGUAUUGUGAAAAAAAAAAGUUGAGCUGCGUCUUAUUGCCUUAGCUUCGUAGUGGGCAGAAGGGGAUGGGUGUGGUUAUUUUUCUUUUAAGAAUGAUGCCUGGGUAUUACUUCCAUCCUGCCCUGCUCUUGUUGACUCACAAUGAAGACCAUCAUGGCAUACUAUAACAUUCACUUCGUGGCACACAGGUAACUACGUUGAGAAGUUUUAUUCAGUUAGAGAAACUUCCAUAUAAAAAAAAAAAAAAAUCUAAAAGUCAUCGUAACUGGGUGGGAUGCUUGCUUUGGAGUAAAAUUAUUAUGGAAAGUAAGAUUUGUUGUGGGGUAAAUUGGAUGAGGGUGUGGGAAGUUACUUUAAUUUUAGGUGGCACUACAAAGCAGCAGCAGUUUCACUGACUCACCGGUUUGGCUUGAAGAUAGUUUCACAAGGUUAACCUGUCUGCUCUGACAUCGAGAGAAGCUAACAGUGAUUGCUGUCGAAGGUAAAUAUUGUUUGAAAGUUUGGUGUUUAAUGUUUUCAGUGUUUGCAGGAGCUAACAUGGUUUGGGCAUUUUUCAUCUUAAAAAAAAAAAAAAAAAAAAAAAUAUGAUCAAACAAUCAAAUUUGUUUGUAGCAGUAUCUAUAGAUACGUUGAUAUGGAAUGGCUGAUGUGGAAAAAUUAAAAGCCAAAAAAUGGCGAAUGAUUACCUGAGUGGAGACUACAAGUUUGCACCAUUCCCCCUAUGGAAAAAAAAAACCCUUCCACUUUAGUUUACAGUGCAACCUCGGUUACCGAACAGCUUUCCUUUGGAAUAAUUUUGUUUAUGAACAAAAUUUUGAACUCCUAAUUGUUUUGGUUGCCAUACUAUAAUUAGGUUCUUGAAUAAGCUACACGGCAGCUUUAUUUUUUAUUUGUAAAUUAAAGUAAACAACACACAUCUACACCGCAUAACUGAUGUGUUUAGUAUUGGGGGUGUGGCGACAUUGUGUUGACACUUACCAGUUGAGCAGUCCCCGCGCUCUCUGAGGCUUGAGAGAAAACUGCAGGAUUUGCGUUUGUUGGGAUAACUGAGCUAGAAGUCUCCUUACAAACUGAUUAUCGUAUCGUCGUACUUUUGUGCUCGUGUAAUGAAAAUACUUUUAAACUUGUUAAUCUCAUCUAUUUCCGAUUUCGAAUGGCAUUCAGGCACAAAUUAAGUUCGAGAACCGAGGUUCCACUAUUAGAUUUUAUCUUUGGAGUGUGGUGGUUGUCUUGCAUGGCUGUCCAUGGAAGUUAAUAAAUCUGCAUGCCCAUCAGUACACCCUGCUGAGCCAAGUUCUAGUGUACAUGCAUGGAGGGCAUCUGCAUUUCUCUAUAUGACUGGAAAAACUGUGUCAAUGCAGUUUAUUCUUAGUCACGUAAAUACAGCAUUAAAUUCUUACCUUAUUAACACAUCUUUUAGAAUAUGCCAUCUGACAUGAAGUGUAUUGGCUUGAUAAACGUGAUUGGAUAGUUAGAAUGUUAGGGGCCAUUAAUGAAUACUUUCAGUGUGGCCUGUGGCGUUGCAUUUGGUGUGAUACGGAAGUUUUGCUACACUAGCCCAGAUAAAUCCACACUCAAGGUGAGCCCUUAGAAAGUCCCCAUUUGACAUUUUCCAUAUAGAUUUUUUUUUUUUUUAACCAUAGAAAAGGUGAAGUUCUAAAAAAAAAAUUGAAGGAAUAACGUAAUUAUUAGAAUGAAGCAAGACAUAAUAUUUCAGACGGAAGAGAAAGGUAUUUGGGGGUGGGAAGGGUAUGAAGUAAGUGUCUUUUCAGAGUUAGUAAGGCUACCACCAGCACCACACGUCACUUCUCUUUGUGUCAGUUAAAUGUGCAUCAAAGUACUUCAGGAAACGAGGUAAUUCCAGUGAUGGUAUUGGCUACAGUGUUAAAGAAAAAAGUUUUCAGAUCCUACAGACGUGAAUAUAAAGGGGUGGGGGGGCAUAAUAAAAAGAAUUGUCUUUACAGGUUUUCGUAAUAGGUUUUCCUUCUAGAUCUUCAGAGCACACACUUCAGAUAUUUCUCUGCAGAUGAGGUAAAUGUGUAUUUAGUGGCUGUACAAGCAAUAUAUGUUUUAUAGAUGGAAGUAAUAGUUGUGUCUUGUGACAAGGAUUUAAGUUGAGUAAGUUAAUCGUGAUUACUAUGCAGUAGCAGAAAUGCCAUUUUAAAAAUAACAUGUAUAUAAUAUGGGAGGGCAGAAAUUUUUCUGGGGAAGGGGUUGGGAACAAUAAGAAAGAUUGUCUUUACAGGUUUUGCAACACUGUUUUAUCCUGGUAGUGUGUUACCAUCACCAUGAAUUCAUCAAAUCGUGCAUCAGAAGAGGUAAACUACAAGGGUUGUUUGGGGCGGCGGGGGUGGAGGGCUGAAUUAAGUGUCUUUACAGAAUUAGACCACCAACAGCAACACACAUUGACUUCACUUUCCACCUGCUAAUAGUGUGCAUCAUUAAGUACUGCAAAAUACAAGGUAUUUCUAAUGGUGAUGUUACAUGUCAUGUUUUAUAAUCUUUGGCAGAUUGAGCAUGAAUAUAUUUGGGGUGGGGGGCACAAUAGAAAACUUUGUCUUUUACAGAGUUUUGCAAUAGGUUUCAUCCGGAUCUUCAAUGCACUACAUGCUUGAAAUUUCACGACCCAGAUGAGGUAAACACAUCGUUUGCGAGUGCAUGACAUUGGUAUCUGUUUGAUGGAAAUGGUGUUUUAGCAUUUAGGAGGUACCAUGUUACAUGAAAAAAAUUGUACCGAUUUUUCAUUGAACAUUGAGGUAAUCAGUUUAAGAAAUAAGAUAAAAACAAUAUAAACAAUUCUAGUGGAAUGGAUAGGUAGUUUGGGAGAGUGGGGAGUGUGAACUAACUGUCUUUUCAGAGUUAUUAAGACUACACCAGCAGCACUACACAUCACUGACUUCUUCACUUUGUCCCUGUUUGUACUAUACAUCCUUAAGUGCUUCAAAAAGUAAGGUAUUUUUAGUAAGGGGUUAUGUAACAUGUUAGUAGAGACUUGAAUAAUUUGAGCAUAUUGUAUAGGAUUAUUUGGGUUGGGAAGGGGGCGGGGCAGAAUAAACAAAAUUAUCUUUGCAGAUUUUCAUAAUAGAUAUUCACCUAGAUUACCAUUGCAGCACAUGAACAAGAUUAUUCAUCACACUCAUAUAUAAGGUAAACAUGUUGCUUGUCGUAAGCAGUCAAAAGUCUGUUCGAUGGAAAUAAUGUAGAAAUAAUAUUUAAUGGUUAUUUAAUACAAGUAUGUAAAUGUGAUCUCCCUACAAGUAGCACUAAACCUUGCUCAAAUCUUGCCAACAUACAUUGAAGGGAGGGCUGAGCUGUUUGUUGGAAUGGGGUUGGGGGGGGGGGCAAUAAAAAAGUUGUCUUUACAGAGCUUGUACUGUAUUAUGGUUUCAUCCAGAUAGUGCUCUAUUAUCACCUUGUGUCCAUGACAGUGAGCAUCGAAAACAAGGUAACCUGCGAAAGCUUUCUUUUGGGAGUGGGUGGGGAAGUGUGAACUAAAUAUUUUUCAGAGUUGGCAAGGCUUCACGAACUGUGACAAAUCGCUGAAUCCACGUUGCAUCUAUUACAUAUUGCAGUGAAUAAGGUAGUGGUGAUUACAGUAUUACAUUUUAAAAUCUCUGGUAUAUUAAACAUGAAUAUAUAAAUAUAAGGGAUAAUGUUGUUGGGUUGCUGGAGAGAGUUGGUGGGGGUGGGGGGCACUUAAAAAGACUUGUCUUUACAGAUUUACGUAGUUUUCAUCAAGUCCUUCAUCACACAAACAAGACAUUUCAUCUUGUGCGAGGUAAAAUAAUUUUGUUGGAAAGAUACAAAUAAUUUGCAAGUGUGUUUAUGUAUGUAUGUAUGUCAGUCAUUUUAGUCUGAAAUCUUGCAAAACUAACAUAUACUGAGCAUACAGGGAUGGGAGGGUAGAGUUGUUUGUUGGGGUGGGAAGGCGGGUCUUAAGAAUUUUACAGUUUUUGUGUGAUGGUUUCAUCCUUUAUCUGCAUCAUCUUCACACAUCCUUGAAAUAUGACCCAAGAUAAGUUUAACAUAUUCCUAAUGUAUAGAUUGAUAUUUUAUCCUUCAACAGUUAAGCAUUGCCUAAAAGCAAUUCAGAUAACCUUGUGAAAAAAAAAAAGUUAUCCUUUCAACAGUUAGUAUAAUGAAGUUAGGAAGAUAGGAUAACAUUUAUUUAUAGGGGAUGGAGGACUUAAGGUUGGACCAGAUGGGCCUUCAGAUUGGCUGGAGAUGGAUGCAAUAACACUACGUUGGAGCUUAGGAAGAUGUUCACGCCUUGAGUUAGCAUCAUAAUGUGAAGUCUACUAGCCCUCAUCAUGUGUAUCAUGCAUCUUUGUUAAAUAAUUUUCUGUUGGAUAUAUCGUUUAAUUAAGGACAGUGAUAGGUGUUUUUAUAUCAGACAUUGUGAGUCAACAUUAAUGCAGUAAGGAACUGUUAUUCUAAAAAGUAGUGAUUGUUUUAUUUUUUAUAUUUUUUAUUUAAUGGUAAAGAUUUGAAUAUUUGUAUUCCAUUCUUAGGUUGCAUUGCACAACAUAUUUACUACUUUGAAAAUUACUGUUUAUAAAUAAUCAUAAACUUUGUGAUUGCCUAUACAAAUGAUUAUAUUUAAUUUGUAAACUUAAAGGAAAUGCAGCUUUGAAUUACCAGCUUUGGGUUGCAAUACCCUUAGGGGUGAUUCAUUUGCUGGUCACUCUUGUUGUGUGCCAUACGUGGGCUUAUAAGAAGAGUGGGAAUGUGGGUGGGACAUUUCCUUUAAGUAAAAUUUAAAUUAGUUGUGUAAAUACUUUCUGAAGAACUAAAGAAGGAAGAAAAAUCCUGAAGGUAGAUGUUGGACACUGGCUUCAGGUGUUGAUUUAUGCGGGACUGAUGUAAGGGAGGCAGUAGUGCAUUUGUAGGAGUAGGAGUAGUUGGACCGGAAGAUUUACCAAUGGCAGUUUGGAAAAGCGUUUAUGAGG